AGAGUUGAUAUACAAGGAAGUCAUGGACCUGGAGGAGAGAACCAAGAAUGGGGUUAUACGCGGACAACCAGCCCCUUUAGGUGCAGCAAUGAUCAAUGGCUCUCCACAUCCAUCCUCAUCGUCAUCUGUCAACGAUGUGUCUUCAAUGUCAACAGAUCCAACAUUGGCCUCUGAUACAGACAGCAGUCUAGAAACCUCAGCUGGUCCUCUGGGUUGCUGCAGAUGACUACUUGGUCUUUUGGGGGGUGGGAGGGGGGUCCUUUUAGUCAUUAAUAGGGCACCUUUAAAAUUUGGUGGUAUUUUUGAGUGUUUUUUCAAAAAUAAUCGUAGAAUUCAUCAUAAAGUGCUGUAAUUUUAAACUGUAAGUUGUGUUAAAAGCAGCCACUUUUUUUGCUGUAAUUAACUGUAAAAUAUUAAACUUGAUAAUUUUUAUUGUGGUUUUAAAAUCUGCAUAUUUGCUUUAUUAUUAUGCUGCUGAUCUUUUUUUACUGAAUUUGUAAGAUUUGUUUUAUCAAAGCACAUAUUAAUGUUGUGGUCAUUACCAUAUAAUGAAUUAUUUAAGAUUUUAUAGGAUUUCAAUUUUUUAAUUAGAAUUUAUUCCAGAUGUUUUGUUCAUGAUAUCCUUCAAAGUUUUAUGCUUGGUCAUAUGUCUGUGUCCAGGUGGAGGGGAAGAGAAUUCAGUGCAGCCAGCUGUAGUUUUGGGCAUACUACUGCAGUGCUGGUGGUGAACAAAAUCCUCUUUUCUUUUGGCCACUUGCCUGUAAUACUUCAGCAAAAGCAACAAUUAAUGAAUUUUUUUAGAGAAACAGUAUACAAUCCUUUGCAAAGUAACCUCAUCUGAAUGGUUUUAUGAACCUCAGAAAGCAAAGUGUAUCUUCAAAGCUGCAGAAAUAUCUAGCCUAACAAAGUAACGUGAUAUUUUCUGCAGAGUUGUGGCAUGCUGAAUUUUGUGAUCACCAUAAAACAUGAGGAUACUUCAUGAAUAAUACAUUGCAAUGCAAAUAAACUGUUUACUUCUA
This is a non-coding RNA of Leptosomus discolor (cuckoo roller), 1019 nucleotides long. The record is from RefSeq and is a predicted model, not a curated record. Lineage: Eukaryota; Metazoa; Chordata; Aves; Leptosomiformes; Leptosomidae.